AACGAACGCUGGCGGCAUGCCUAACACAUGCAAGUCGAACGAGGCCUUCGGGUCUAGUGGCGCACGGGUGCGUAACGCGUGGGAACCUGCCCUUAGGUUCGGAAUAACUCCCCGAAAGGGGUGCUAAUACCGGAUAAUGUCUUCGGACCAAAGAUUUAUCGCCUUUGGAUGGGCCCGCGUUGGAUUAGCUAGUUGGUAGGGUAAAAGCCUACCAAGGCGACGAUCCAUAGCUGGUCUGAGAGGAUGAUCAGCCACACUGGGACUGAGACACGGCCCAGACUCCUACGGGAGGCAGCAGUGGGGAAUAUUGGACAAUGGGCGAAAGCCUGAUCCAGCAAUACCGCGUGAGUGAUGAAGGCCUUAGGGUUGUAAAGCUCUUUUACCCGGGAUGAUAAUGACAGUACCGGGAGAAUAAGCUCCGGCUAACUCCGUG
This 433-nucleotide ribosomal RNA is filed under the name uncultured bacterium. RNAcentral describes it as "partial 16S ribosomal RNA". It matches the Rfam family "Bacterial small subunit ribosomal RNA", at positions 29 to 507 of the family's 1533-position model. The record is from RNAcentral.